GCCAGGCUCAGUGGUGUGAGCCUGUAGUCCAAGCUACUUGGGAGGCUGAGGUGGGAUGAUUGCUUGAGCCUGGGAGUUUGAGGCCGCAGUGAGCUAUGAUCAUGCCACUGCUCUCAAGCCUGGGCAACAGAGUAAGACCCCGUCUCUU
Nomascus leucogenys (northern white-cheeked gibbon) is the source of this 148-nucleotide non-coding RNA. It matches the Rfam family "Metazoan signal recognition particle RNA". From Rfam's summary of the family: The signal recognition particle (SRP) is a universally conserved ribonucleoprotein. NCBI's taxonomy places the organism in Eukaryota, Metazoa, Chordata, Mammalia, Primates, Hylobatidae. The record is from Rfam.